AAGAUCGGGUUGCGGUUUAAGUUG
RNAcentral lists this non-coding RNA (24 nucleotides) under Arabidopsis thaliana (thale cress). Lineage: Eukaryota; Viridiplantae; Streptophyta; Magnoliopsida; Brassicales; Brassicaceae. The record is from RNAcentral.